UACGGAGGGUGCGAGCGUUGUCCGGAAUCACUGGGCGUAAAGGGCGCGUAGGCGGCGCGGGGAGUCAACGGUGAAAGCUCGGCGCUCAACGCCGAGUCGGCCGUCGAUACUCCCCGUGCUCGAGCACUGUAGAGGCAGGUGGAAUUCCGGGUGUAGCGGUGGAAUGCGUAGAGAUCCGGAAGAACACCGGUGGCGCAAGG
Molecule: ribosomal RNA, 200 nt
Filed under: uncultured bacterium
Lineage: Bacteria
Description: partial 16S ribosomal RNA
Rfam family: Bacterial small subunit ribosomal RNA
Source: RNAcentral